GACGAACGCUGGCGGCGUGCUUAACACAUGCAAGUCGAACGGGAAGGUCCUGCUUUUGUGGGGUGCUCGAGUGGCGAACGGGUGAGUAACACGUGAGUAACCUGCCCUUGACUUUGGGGUAACUUCAGGCAACUGGGGCUCAUACCGGAUAGGAGCUCCUGCUGCAUGGUGGGGGCUGGAAAGAUUCGGCGGUUGGGGAUGGACUCGCGGCGUAUCGGCUUGGUGGUGGGGUAGUGGCUUACCAAGGCCUUGAGCGGUAGCCGGCCUGGGAGGGUGACCGGCCACAUUGGGACUGAGAUGCGGCACAGACUCCAACGGGAGGCAGCAGAGGGGAAGAUAGCACAAUGGGCGGAAGCCUGAUGCAGCAACGCCGCGUGCGGGAUGACGGCCUUCGGGUUGUAAACCGCUUUCGCCUGUGACGAAGCGUGAGUGACGGUAAUGGGUAAAGAAGCACCGGCUAACUACGUG
RNAcentral lists this ribosomal RNA (468 nucleotides) under uncultured bacterium. Its description in RNAcentral is "partial 16S ribosomal RNA". It matches the Rfam family "Bacterial small subunit ribosomal RNA", at positions 28 to 507 of the family's 1533-position model. The record is from RNAcentral.